This is a long non-coding RNA of Xiphophorus couchianus (Monterrey platyfish), 912 nucleotides long. RefSeq lists it as uncharacterized. The transcript is spliced from 3 exons. NCBI's taxonomy places the organism in Eukaryota, Metazoa, Chordata, Actinopteri, Cyprinodontiformes, Poeciliidae. The record is from RefSeq and is a predicted model, not a curated record.
CAGCUCUUCAAGACAGGUAAAAAAACACUUCUUAGAAAACUGUUUGAAGCCAAAACCUAGUCUGGAAAUGUACAUUUUAGAUGGAGUUAACGUAGCUUAUAGCAUCAUGCUAUAAUGCUAUAACUUAGCAUUAUAGCAUGAGCUGGUUUGUGCUGGUUAGCCUGGUAAAAUAACGUUACCUUUACGUUACUAACUCUGAUGUAUUAUAUAACUGGCAUAUUGCAACGUUAUAAGUUACGUGUCUGUAAAUGAGGUGAAAGAUAGGAAAAUAUGAUGUUGUUAUUUUUUGAGCUGGUUCGGAAUUAACGUUAGCUAAGGUGCUAAUUUUACCGUUGAAGGUUUUAGCUUGACUUUUGCCGCUUAAUCUUCCUCGGGCGGCUUUGGGUUGAGAUGCGCUCAGUGCUGAGUGUCUGUUAGCAUUGUUGUUACAUCCUUUGUCGAACAAUAUAACCUUAACUGAUAAGUGAUCCCCCCCCCUUUUCUUUUUUUUACAUCUAAUGACUGUUCAUUUGUUUAAACCAUGAUCUUGCAAACGUUAAAAGUGCAGAUUAGCUACGUAGGUCAGCAAGGAUGAAUUUCUAACAUUGUUCUUUUUUUUUCUUUUCUUCAGAUGGCUUUUUUUUUCACUCCCAAGCUUUUUCCCUCCAAGUGGCUGUGCAGUUCUGUCCUGCUGACUGCUAACAUAGCUUAAUCUCUUCAAAAGACAAGACAACAGGUAUCUUCCACCAAGAUGUCUGUUGAAAUGGAAAUGACCUUACCCACUACACCAAGGGUAAUCAUGCUUGGAAAUAGCUUGAUGUCUGCAACCCGGUGGAUGGUCAGUAUGGAGGAGAAGGUAUUUUUCGAGCCUGAGCAACUACAUGAUUUUGCCAGCGUCCUUGCUGUCGUUUUUGGGUCAUAUUAUGUCUUCAA